GUAUCAUCCUCGUUUGGUAUUCUGUCCUAGAGGUUGUGAUUCAGAAACUGAAGAAAUUUUGUUGAUCUAGUGACGUGCAUGGAGGUGAUCAAGCUCGGCUUUCGAGUUGGAGACCAGCUGGGGCGAUGGGGUCACGCCGCUGGCCUGGGGCGAUAAAUUGCAGAUUUCGCACCAUUCAUCCGGUAAGCUUGCGGUCGACAGAGAGACACAGGAGGAGUUCGUCGGCUCUGUUGCGCGAGGAAAAGAAGGUGCCAACCAGGAACGUUGCUGUUCAUGUGAUGCAAAAGGAUGGGAGGUUGUUUCAAGAUCUAUGUCCCUCGCUGGCUGCGGCUGCUCGUCCUGGGCUCUGGUGGCGGCGAUGGUACGCCUAAGUUGCUACCAGGUUCGACCUAGAUCCGCACCUCUGUCAUGCUGCUGGUCAGCACUCCAGGGGCGUCUGCAAGGCCGGGUGAGGGGAGCUUCAGCCAGGGUGCGGCAAGGUCUGCCUCGUCCGCACCAGACUAAGGCAACUUGCAGGUAAAGAAGGAAGAAAGUCGAAGACUGAGAAAGAAGGGUCAGCCAGAUUGUUUACUUUUUCUUACUUUGCAUUUGUAUGUAUAUACACCGCCCUUCUGUUGCAAGGGAGGGAGUGCCGACAUGCGCGUGCCCGGCUCUGGCGGCGGCUCGCCGUCCAUGGCCUGUGUGUUAUAUUGGUUUUUUGAUUCUUGGGGAUUGGUGUUGGGUGGUAGUCAUAGAGAUAGAUGUGACAUUUUUUUUUUGUAAUGUAUGGUCCAGACUUACCUGGGGAAUUGUAAUAGGUAGCAUGGUCUUUGUUGACCAUCUGUUUUGGGUGUUUGGCUAGACAUUCUGGCCUCAGCUGGAUCGUGUACCUGGAUAUGUGAUUUGAGAUGUUGUGAUAUAUGCACUUGUAUUGUUGAA
Lolium perenne is the source of this 918-nucleotide long non-coding RNA. RefSeq lists it as uncharacterized. NCBI's taxonomy places the organism in Eukaryota, Viridiplantae, Streptophyta, Magnoliopsida, Poales, Poaceae. The record is from RefSeq and is a predicted model, not a curated record.